This 218-nucleotide long non-coding RNA is filed under the name Lathyrus oleraceus (garden pea). RNAcentral describes it as "Pisum sativum (pea) long non-coding RNA (PSAT_LNC001658)". Lineage: Eukaryota; Viridiplantae; Streptophyta; Magnoliopsida; Fabales; Fabaceae. The record is from RNAcentral.
UGACUCCACAGGGGACCAAGGUCAUAAUAGGGAGCAGAAAGGGAGGAACACCAGGGAUACCGAGGUAUAUAAUAGGCGACCGACCAAAGCGUGAAUUGGUAUAUAUGCCAAAACACUCAUCAUCCGAAAGGAAGCUAGAAAAGCAGACUUGUUUAUAGGAUGGAUAUUCGAUUCCAUAAGGAAUAUGAAUCUUACUAUGCGGAGAAAACAAUCAAAAG